UACGGGGGGGGCAAGCGUUGUUCGGAAUUACUGGGCGUAAAGGGCUCGUAGGCGGCCAACUAAGUCAGACGUGAAAUCCCUCGGCUUAACCGGGGAACUGCGUCUGAUACUGGAUGGCUUGAGUUCGGGAGAGGGAUGCGGAAUUCCAAGUGUAGCGGUGAAAUGCGUAGAUAUCUGGAGGAACACCGGUGGCGAAGGCGGCAUCCUGGACCGACACUGACGCUGAGGAGCGAAAGCCAGGGGAGCAAACGGG
This 253-nucleotide ribosomal RNA is filed under the name uncultured bacterium. Its description in RNAcentral is "partial 16S ribosomal RNA". It matches the Rfam family "Bacterial small subunit ribosomal RNA", at positions 524 to 776 of the family's 1533-position model. The record is from RNAcentral.